GACGAACGCUGGCGGCGUGCUUAACACAUGCAAGUCGAGCGGUAAGGCCCUUUCGGGGUACGACGAGCGGCGAACGGGUGAGUAACACGUGGGUGACCUGCCCUCAGCUCUGGGAUAAGCCUCGGGAAACCGGGUCUAAUACUGGAUAUGACUCCAUGACGCAUGUUGUGGGGUGGAAAGCCUUGUGCGGCUGAGGAUGGGCCCGCGGCCUAUCAGCUUGUUGGUGGGGUGANGGCC
This 237-nucleotide ribosomal RNA is filed under the name uncultured bacterium. RNAcentral describes it as "partial 16S ribosomal RNA". It matches the Rfam family "Bacterial small subunit ribosomal RNA", at positions 28 to 265 of the family's 1533-position model. The record is from RNAcentral.